GACGAACGCUGGCGGCGUGCUUAACACAUGCAAGUCGAACGAGAGGACAAGAGAAGCUUGCUUCUUUUGGAAUCGAGUGGCAAACGGGUGAGUAACACGUAAACAACCUGCCUUCAGGAUGGGGACAACAGACGGAAACGACUGCUAAUACCGAAUACGCUUGGGAGACCGCAUGAUCUUCCAAGGAAAGGGUGGCCUCUACUUGUAAGCUAUCGCCUGAAGAGGGGUUUGCGUCUGAUUAGGCAGUUGGUGAGGUAACGGCCCACCAAACCUACGAUCAGUAGCCGGUCUGAGAGGAUGAACGGCCACACUGGAACUGAGACACGGUCCAGACUCCUACGGAGGCAGCAGUGGGGAAUCUUCCGCAAUGGGCGAAAGCCUGACGGAGCAACGCCGCGUGAGUGAUGACGGCCUUC
This 416-nucleotide ribosomal RNA is filed under the name uncultured bacterium. RNAcentral's name for it is "bacterial SSU rRNA". It matches the Rfam family "Bacterial small subunit ribosomal RNA", at positions 28 to 419 of the family's 1533-position model. The record is from RNAcentral.